This 305-nucleotide ribosomal RNA is filed under the name uncultured bacterium. Its description in RNAcentral is "bacterial SSU rRNA". It matches the Rfam family "Bacterial small subunit ribosomal RNA", at positions 337 to 638 of the family's 1533-position model. The record is from RNAcentral.
UCCUACGGGGGGCAGCAGUGAGGAAUAUUGGUCAAUGGGCGGGAGCCUGAACCAGCCAAGUCGCGUGAGGGAAGACGGUCCUAUGGAUUGUAAACCUCUUUAGGCGGGGAGCAAUGCCGGGCACGCGUGCCCGGAGGGAGAGUACCCGCAGAAUAAGCAUCGGCUAACUCCGUGCCAGCAGCCGCGGUAAUACGGAGGAUGCGAGCGUUAUCCGGAUUUAUUGGGUUUAAAGGGAGCGUAGGUGGACAGUUAAGUCAGUUGUGAAAGCUUGCGGCUCAACCGUAAAAUUGCAGUUGAUACUGGCU